CAUUCACGGAGAGUUUGAUCCUGGCUCAGGACGAACGCUGGCGGCGUGCUUAACACAUGCAAGUCGAACGAUGAACCACUUCGGUGGGGAUU
RNAcentral lists this ribosomal RNA (92 nucleotides) under Streptomyces sp. BK022. Its description in RNAcentral is "partial 16S ribosomal RNA". It matches the Rfam family "Bacterial small subunit ribosomal RNA", at positions 1 to 93 of the family's 1533-position model. Lineage: Bacteria; Bacillati; Actinomycetota; Actinomycetes; Kitasatosporales; Streptomycetaceae. The record is from RNAcentral.